Long non-coding RNA from Gigantopelta aegis, 825 nucleotides. RefSeq lists it as uncharacterized. The transcript is spliced from 3 exons. Lineage: Eukaryota; Metazoa; Mollusca; Gastropoda; Neomphalida; Peltospiridae. The record is from RefSeq and is a predicted model, not a curated record.
UCGUAUGUUUCAGUAUCAGCAACCUUUCCAUCUUAUUUAUUUUUUAUAGGUUUUCUUCUUCCAAAUGGAAACCGUUUUACUACUGAGCUAUGCUGUUCUUAAUCAAUAAUAUGACGUAGAUGCACUAGUCCUGCCUAUUUGAUUGGUUCCUGACGUGGCCAUUUGGUUUAACAUAAAGUGCAUAAACUAGCUCUGUCUGGCUGAACGCAGCCCGGAAUUCACCGACAGCGGACGGGGCUAAUGGGAUAGGUACAACAAGAAAAAACCUAGAAGAAAAAGAAAAAGAACAACAACGACUACAACGACAUCAAGAAAAAAGAAAAAAAGAAAGAAAGAAAGAAAGACACGCGCUCCCAUUAUCGUCCAAAAUCCACGAACAGCGAUUCAUCCCCCGAACAGAGGACAUAUCUCAAGUACGAGACACAAGCACCUCAACAAGUGAUGCUCAGUCUUGUGUGCCUUUUUGUGUCCGUUAUAGCUGGAUUACAUUUCACGACGUAGAAGGGAAACAAUGUCGAAAGAUUAAACAUACUAGAGCGACAUUCCCGAGAAAUUCACUGCGAUUUUUAGAUAUUUUGACUUAUUUUUGGUUAUUUUACUCGUGUAAAAACAGCGCAAACGCAGUUAAUGAAGAUUGCCUGAAACGUUAUCUACUAUACACUGUACUGUUAGAAGAUCACGAAGAGAACAUUGCUUUAAAGUGUAACCCUGUGCUAAUUUUAAUAAUAGCAGCUUUGUUCCAUAAUAUGUAUGUUACUUGACUUCUGUGUGCUACACAUUAGCUUAUGUUAUGUAUUGACGUUUGAGACCCAUCUCCGUUAAAAA